This 400-nucleotide unclassified non-coding RNA is filed under the name uncultured fungus. Its description in RNAcentral is "sequence contains ITS1". The stretch from base 1 to 105 matches the Rfam family "5.8S ribosomal RNA", at positions 50 to 154 of the family's 154-position model. Lineage: Eukaryota; Fungi. The record is from RNAcentral.
GAAAUGCGAUACGUAAUGUGAAUUGCAGAAUACCGUGAAUCAUCGAAUCCUCGAACGCAUAUUGCGCUUUCAGGACCUCCUGGAAGCAUGCCUGUUUGAGUAUCAGGAUCAAACCUCAACUUAAACAUUUUGUUUAAAUUGGACUUGGAUUUUCCACGUCUCUCUCUUCUUGCAUAAGUAGUAGAGAUACGCGAAAUCUAAAUUGUAGAAUCGCAGGGCAUCUCCCUUAGCCAAAAUUUGGUCAUUUGCAGCUAGCAAUCGUCCUUUAAUUUUUAAUGCUAAUAGAUAGUCAUGUGGACUUCUGGCACACGGGCUUUUGAAACCCCUUUAGCUAGAAAAACCUUGAGGACCAGGUAAUUCAUUGAAAAAGCCUACCUCUUGAGCUUUUGAUCUCAAAUCA